CGGCGAUGGCGGCACUCUAGCUACGUUUCACCGGAAGAGUAGAUGUUUACGAUUCUGGCUGUAUUCUGGAGCGUUUCCUCAUGGGCGUCGCAGUUCACACACGUCACGGAUUCCGCCGAAAGAGUCGAUAAUUAAAACUGAACUUUUGGAUCGGAGAUAUGAAGACGCGCGCUGCAUUUUCUUUGGCGGAGAUGCACAGCUCUGACACUAGACAAUAUUAUACACUCGAAGGGAACGCGUUUCGCCGGAAUAAUAAAUAAUUACAAAUGGUAUUCGUCAGUGAACAUUUUCAAACUGGGAAUAAUAUAUCAUAAGCAGAUUGAAAUGUGUGAACGUUUCAGUGUUUCGAAGACUAAGUUUCGUAGCAGAUUUUGAUUCCGUCACGGGGUUUACUCCGUCGUCAAACCCGUUGCCAUUCAUGGAAUUUACUUCUCAACAAGGAAAGACAAACUUCUUUGAAAGAAGCCUAAGUGAACACCAAUUACCUUCAGUUGUACUCUGA
Long non-coding RNA from Metopolophium dirhodum (rose-grain aphid), 502 nucleotides. RefSeq lists it as uncharacterized. The transcript is spliced from 5 exons. NCBI's taxonomy places the organism in Eukaryota, Metazoa, Arthropoda, Insecta, Hemiptera, Aphididae. The record is from RefSeq and is a predicted model, not a curated record.